AGAGUUUGAUCCUGGCUCAGAUUGAACGCUGGCGGAAUGCUUUACACAUGCAAGUCGAGCGGCAGCGCGGGGGCAACCCUGGCGGCGAGCGGCGAACGGGUGAGUAACACAUCGGAACGUACCCAGUAGUGGGGGAUAACUAACCGAAAGGUUAGCUAAUACCGCAUACGCCCUGAGGGGGAAAGUGGGGGAUCGCAAGACCUCACGUUAUUGGAGCGGCCGAUGUCGGAUUA
RNAcentral lists this ribosomal RNA (233 nucleotides) under uncultured bacterium. RNAcentral's name for it is "partial 16S ribosomal RNA". It matches the Rfam family "Bacterial small subunit ribosomal RNA", at positions 8 to 243 of the family's 1533-position model. The record is from RNAcentral.